Triticum aestivum (bread wheat) is the source of this 1563-nucleotide long non-coding RNA. RefSeq lists it as uncharacterized. The transcript has 3 exons. The record is from RefSeq and is a predicted model, not a curated record. Lineage: Eukaryota; Viridiplantae; Streptophyta; Magnoliopsida; Poales; Poaceae.
GAAACAAAAAAAAUCCACCGUCUCUCUCUCUCUCUCUCUUUCGCUCUCUCUCUCUCUCUUCGAUUCCUCUCUUGCACCAGAUCCCCUUGACCACGAGUCCAUGAUGCUACCGCCGCUACCUCCAAUUCCGGCGAGAUCCAGCGCUCUUCCAUGUUGCCUCUCACUGGCCUAGAUCCUCUUCAGUGCUCUCAUCUGAUGCUCCACCAUCACGAUGCCCUCCACACCCAUGUAUGCGCCGCUGCGGCAACCGUAGUCGCUGUGGUCCCUGGCGCGGUUGUCAUGCCUCCUCUAGUUGGAAUCUCGGCAUGCGCUGCUGCCGGUCCGAAUACUCAUCGCCUGCAGUAGCGACGUCCUCUGCGACCAUGCAUCAACCAUGUGUCGCCGGCAUGGCUACUUCAUUUCCUAGGCCCACUUACACGCGUCUCCACACGCGCUGCCAUCCGCUCGAGAUCGAUGGUGCUUGGCCUCGGCUACCUCGACUCCAGCGGACUCUACCGAUGAUUCAGCAAGGCACUCAUGUCCUCUGUUCCUGCCCUCUCGGGUGCUUUUGUGUGGCAUGGCCAUCAUGUCUAUUUGCCGGCGAUUGCAACCUUAAUCUAUACUACCUUAGUCAUUCGCCUGAUCCACUACAUGUCAGCAUGUUUCAUUUGUGCACUGAAAUGCUAGCUACUACUUGUCAUCACGGCGUCAUAAAUGAUCUUGCUAGACCACGGCUGCAUAACAACACAUAACGGUCAUAAGUUGUUUCUAAUUGGGUUGAUAUAUUUGUAUGUAUCAUUCAGUGAUCGACCACUUGUCUAUAUGUGAAUUCAGGAAGAACGUCUGCAUCCUCUUUUUCUCAAUAGUUCUUUCUUGUGAUGCAUUAGCAUUUAAUUUUCUUACUGCUAUGUCCAUGGAUGAAUCCUUACUGAUUUCCUUGUCAUAUAUUGUGUAAUACUACAUGAAUAAGUCUCAUAUGCAUCUAUCUGUCGAGGUAUUGCUCUUUAUCAUAUACAAUCCAUAAUUUCAUCUUCCCUUGUAGGUUGCAAAAUUGACCUUGCUUCAGCCAACUUCCGUAUGUGUUCUUCUUUUGCCUACUAGGUACAUCUGAUUUCCAGAAUUCUCUGUACUUGCAUGUAUUAGACGUCUGCCAAUCGUCGCCCCACCUAAAGCUACAAGAAAGAUGAGCCCUCACAUAAAUUGAUGAGAUAAAUGGAUGAUGCAUGGCUAAAUUGUUGAUUGCAAGGUGGAGAUUGGGUCUACUAUCUCAUAGUUUAUAUUGAUAUUUUAGAAUGUAUUUUUCAUGAUCAAUGUAUAGAAAUCAUGUACUCACUAUUUGGAUUCUGUCCAAUGUAAUGCAAUAGAGUCAAUUUAAUACUAUAUGAGAUCUUUCUGGUUACUGGAUUGCUGCUCCUUGCAAUGUCAGCAUUGACCUAGUGGUUGUUAGGAAUAUAUAAAUACUAGUAAGGGUUCAAGUUAAGUAGGAAUGUCUCUAUAUUUGUGCAUUGUAGCCACCAAUGCAUAUGAAGUGUUGUAAGGCUGUAACUAUAUCCGUUGCUAUUUUGCAACGCUUAUUCACGUCAA